Molecule: ribosomal RNA, 231 nt
Filed under: uncultured bacterium
Lineage: Bacteria
Description: partial 16S ribosomal RNA
Rfam family: Bacterial small subunit ribosomal RNA
Source: RNAcentral
ACGGGUGAGUAAUGUCUGGGAAACGUGCCUGAUGGAGGGGGGUAACUACUGGAAACGGUAGCUAAUACCGCAUAACGUCGCAAGACCAAAGAGGGGGACCGUUCGGGCCUCUUGCCAUCGGAUGUGCCCAGAUGGGAUUAGCUAGUAGGUGGGGUAACGGCUCACCUAGGCGACGAUCCCUAGCUGGUCUGAGAGGAUGACCAGCCACACUGGAACUGAGACACGGUCCAG